GAGUUUGAUCGUGGCUCAGAUUGAACGCUGGCGGCAUGCCUUACACAUGCAAGCCGAACGGCAGCACGGGAGCUUGCUCCUGGUGGCGAGUGGCGAACGGGUGAGUAAUGCAUCGGAACGUAUCCUGGAGUGGGGGAUAACGUAGCGAAAGUUACGCUAAUACCGCAUAUUCUGUGAGCAGGAAAGCGGGGGACCUUCGGGCCUCGCGCUCUUGGAGCGGCCGAUGUCGGAUUAGCUAGUUGGUGAGGUAAAGGCUCACCAAGGCGACGAUCCGUAGCAGGUCUGAGAGGAUGAUCUGCCACACUGGAACUGAGACACGGUCCAGACUCCUACGGGAGGCAGGCAGUGGGGAAUUUUGGACAAUGGGGGCAACCCUGAUCCAGCCAUGCCGCGUGAGUGAAGAAGGCCUCGG
Molecule: ribosomal RNA, 412 nt
Filed under: bacterium enrichment culture clone ALO1_GLFRUDD03GTAG8
Lineage: Bacteria
Description: bacterial SSU rRNA
Rfam family: Bacterial small subunit ribosomal RNA
Source: RNAcentral